AUUGAACGCUGGCGGCAGGCUUAACACAUGCAAGUCGAACGAGUGGCGGACGGGUGAGUAAUGCUUGGGAAUCUAGCUUAUGGAGGGGGAUAACUACGGGAAACCGUAGCUAAUACCGCUUACCAUAGGAUGAGCCCAAGUGGGAUUAGGUAGUUGGUGGGGUAAAGGCUCACCAAGCCGACGAUCUCUAGCUGGUGUGAGAGGAAGACCAGCCACACUGGGACUGAGACACGGCCCAGACCCCUACGGGGAGCAGGAGUGGAGAAUAUUGCGCAAUUGGGGCAACCUGACGCAGCCAUGCAGCGUGAAUGAAGAAGGCCUUCGGGUUGUAAAGUUCUUUCGGUAGCGAGGCGUUAACUACAGAAGAAGCACCGGCUAACUCCGUGCCAGCAGCCGCGGUAAUC
Molecule: ribosomal RNA, 404 nt
Filed under: uncultured bacterium
Lineage: Bacteria
Description: partial 16S ribosomal RNA
Rfam family: Bacterial small subunit ribosomal RNA
Source: RNAcentral